Molecule: microRNA precursor, 103 nt
Filed under: Chelydra serpentina (North American snapping turtle)
Lineage: Eukaryota; Metazoa; Chordata; Testudines; Chelydridae
Description: mir-363
Rfam family: mir-363 microRNA precursor family (bases 13-92)
Source: RNAcentral
AAGCUUUGUUUUGCUGUUGUCGGGUGGAUCACGAUGCAAUUUUGAUUAGUUUAGCAGGAGAAAAAUUGCACGGUAUCCAUCUGUAAACCGCAGGACCUUCAUC